This 476-nucleotide ribosomal RNA is filed under the name Centrophasma hadrillum. Its description in RNAcentral is "partial large subunit ribosomal RNA". It matches the Rfam family "Bacterial large subunit ribosomal RNA", at positions 1922 to 2613 of the family's 2925-position model. The record is from RNAcentral. Lineage: Eukaryota; Metazoa; Arthropoda; Insecta; Phasmatodea; Lonchodidae.
AUUUAAUGGCUGCGGUAUUUUGACCGUACAAAGGUAGCAUAAUCAUUAGUUUAUUAAUUGUAAACUUGUAUGAAUGGUUUAACGAAAUAUUGACUGUCUCAUAUUUAAUAUUAUAAUUUAAAUUUUUAGUUAAAAUGCUAAAAUAUUUUUAUAGGACGAGAAGACCCUAUAGAUCUUUAUAAUUUAUUAGUUUUUUUUAUUUAGUUUAUUUUUUAUAAAAUUGUUUUAUUUUUUUGUUGGGGUGACAUGAAGAUAUAAUUAACUCUUUAUAUUUAUAUUCAAUUAUUUUUGUUUAUUUGACCUUUUAUUAAUGUUAUAAGAUAUAGAUACCUUAGGGAUAACAGCGUAAUUCUUUUUGAGAGUUCAUAUCGACAAGAGAGAUUGCGACCUCGAUGUUGGAUUAAGAUUAUAUUUAGGUGUAGUUGCUUAAUUAUUAAGUCUGUUCGACUUUUAAAUUCUUACAUGAUCUGAGUUCA